This 511-nucleotide ribosomal RNA is filed under the name uncultured bacterium. RNAcentral describes it as "bacterial SSU rRNA". It matches the Rfam family "Bacterial small subunit ribosomal RNA", at positions 39 to 518 of the family's 1533-position model. The record is from RNAcentral.
CUGCGGCGUGCCUAAUACAUGCAAGUCGAACGGUCUUUCUAUGGAAGCUUGCUUCCACUGAGAAGAGUAGUGGCGAACGGGUGAGUAACACGUGGGUAACCUGCCCAUAAGAGGGGGAGUAACAUCCGGAAACGGGUAGCUAAUACCGCAUAGUUUUCUUGAUCGCAUGAUCGGGAAAGGAAAGACGGCCUUUGUGCUGUCGCUUAUGGAUGGACCCGCGGCGUAUUAGUUGGUUGGUGAGGUAACGGCUCACCAAGACGAUGAUACGUAGCCGACCUGAGAGGGUGAUCGGCCACAUUGGGACUGAGACACGGCCCAAACUCCUACGGGAGGCAGCAGUAGGGAAUCUUCCGCAAUGGACGAAAGUCUGACGGAGCAACGCCGCGUGAGUGAAGAAGGUUUUCGGAAUCGUAAAACUCUGUUGUCAGAGAAGAGCAAGUUGGAGAGUAACUGCUCCAGCCUUGACGGUAUCUGACCAGAAAGCCACGGCUAACUACGUGCCAGCAGCUGC